Molecule: unclassified non-coding RNA, 391 nt
Filed under: soil metagenome
Description: partial contains 5.8S ribosomal RNA, internal transcribed spacer 2, and large subunit ribosomal RNA
Rfam family: 5.8S ribosomal RNA (bases 1-122)
Source: RNAcentral
GAUGAAUAACGUAGCGAAAUGCGAUACUUGGUGUGAAUUGCAGAAUCCCGUGAACCAUCGAGUCUUUGAACGCAAGUUGCGCCCGAAGCCAUUAGGCCGAGGGCACGCCUGCCUGGGCGUCACACGUCGUUGCCCCCCCAUCUACUCCUUCGGGAUUGCGGGGGGCGGAUGAUGGCCUCCCGUGCGCCUCGUCGCGCGGUUGGCAUAAAUGCCAAGUCCUCGGCGACGCACGCCACGACAAUCGGUGGUUGCGAAACCUCGGUUGCCCGUCGUGUGCGGUCGUCGCGCAUCGAGGGCUCGAAAAAAUUGUCGGGCUCCGGCUCGGCUUUCAACGCGACCCCAGGUCAGGCGGGGUUACCCGCUGAAUUUAAGCAUAUCAAUAAGCGGAGGA